Molecule: ribosomal RNA, 484 nt
Filed under: uncultured bacterium
Lineage: Bacteria
Description: partial 16S ribosomal RNA
Rfam family: Bacterial small subunit ribosomal RNA
Source: RNAcentral
AUUGAACGCUGGCGGCAGGCCUAACACAUGAAAGUCGAGCGGAUGAAGGGAGCUUGCUCCUGGAUUCAGCGGCGGACGGGUGAGUAAUGCCUAGGAAUCUGCCUGGUAGUGGGGGAUAACGUCCGGAAACGGGCGCUAAUACCGCAUACGUCCUGAGGGAGAAAGUGGGGGAUCUUCGGACCUCACGCUAUCAGAUGAGCCUAGGUCGGAUUAGCUAGUUGGUGGGGUAAAGGCCUACCAAGGCGACGAUCCGUAACUGGUCUGAGAGGAUGAUCAGUCACACUGGACCUGAGACCCGGUCCAGACUCCUCCGGGCGGCAGCAGUGGGGAAUAUUGGACGAUGGGCGAACGCCUGAUCCAGCCAUGCCGCGUGUGUGAAGAAGGUCUUCGGAUUGUAAAGCACUUUAAGUUGGGAGGAAGGGCAGUAAGUUAAUACCUUGCUGUUUUGACGUUACCAACAGAAUAAGCACCGGCUAACUUCGUG